UUUAUUUUUUCUUUUAUAAAAAUAUCUGUAUUUAUUUGAAUAAUCUUUAGCUUUUAAAGUUGUUAUCUAUCAUCUCUACGUAAUUUAUUGAUUAUCUUUUAUCAAAACAUUAUUGAGUAAUAAUUUUUUAGGGGGUUUUUUUUUUCUUAGGGCCUCGUUGCAAAGUCUAGUCCCGGGGCCGAAAAUCGUCUUAUUGCUGGCUUGUUUGCAUACAACCUAAGCGCGAACAACGUUUG
Non-coding RNA from Cinara cedri, 236 nucleotides. The record is from the annotation of a GenBank genome assembly. NCBI's taxonomy places the organism in Eukaryota, Metazoa, Arthropoda, Insecta, Hemiptera, Aphididae.